This 253-nucleotide ribosomal RNA is filed under the name uncultured bacterium. RNAcentral describes it as "partial 16S ribosomal RNA". It matches the Rfam family "Bacterial small subunit ribosomal RNA", at positions 524 to 776 of the family's 1533-position model. The record is from RNAcentral.
UACAGAGGUGGCAAGCGUUGUUCGGAAUUACUGGGCGUAAAGGGCGCGUAGGCGGCCCACUAAGUCAGACGUGAAAUCCCCCGGCUUAACCUGGGAACUGCGUCUGAUACUGGAGGGCUUGAGUAUGGGAGAGGGAUGUAGAAUUCCAGGUGUAGCGGUGAAAUGCGUAGAUAUCUGGAGGAAUACCGGUGGCGAAGGCGGCAUCCUGGACCAUUACUGACGCUGAGGCGCGAAAGCUAGGGGAGCAAACGGG